RNAcentral lists this ribosomal RNA (66 nucleotides) under Alternaria brassicae. Its description in RNAcentral is "partial 28S ribosomal RNA". The record is from RNAcentral. Lineage: Eukaryota; Fungi; Ascomycota; Dothideomycetes; Pleosporales; Pleosporaceae.
CAGCAAAGGUCAGUAUCCACAAAGCCUUUUUUUCAACUUUUGACCUCGGAUCAGGUAGGGAUACCC